AGGAAUAAUAAAAUUAGCCUUAAUUGCAUCUCCUGCAUCUUCAAAAAUAUGAGCUCAGGGAGAGAAAGUUGGUUUAUAAAUUUUUGGCUUUAAAGCAGGAGCAGGAUGAUGCUGCACAGGAGGUGAUGGAGGUUAUAUCCUACUUUUUCAUAGCAGUUGUACCUUAAAAACUAAGCAAAAUAUAUGAACUUGCAGAGAAACACAACAAACAGAAAACUAAUUCAACACAUGAACAACACACACGGUUUAAAUUCUAAUUAAUGACAGAAAACAAAUAUAUGUUUACAAAACACACAACCAAUGGAACAAACAGAUAUGUUGUUCAGAAUAUAGGAAGGAAUCUACUAAUAAUGGGAAGGUACACAUCAAAGUUAAAAUACUGCUCUCAGUGAGGAGGCAGCAAUGACAUGGCCAAGCGAAGAACAGAUGCACCUCCAGUGUUCAUAGACCAUCUAUUAUUAGAGCUUUUCUAUAUUUCAUUCCUUGCAGCCUAGUUAAAAUUAAGCCAGAAAUGUUAAUACAGAGCUGAGUUUUCCCACAGUCCUAAAGAACAGAACAAUUCUGAAAUUCCAUAUAUACUACUACUAAUAAAGCCAUGCCAGCUUCUAUGAUAUUACAUGCCAUCUAGGAUCAGACUUCUAGUAAACAGCCUGUUUUUCCUAUUUUCACGUAUCUGUUCUAUGGGUCUUGUCCCCCCUAUGUCCCCUGUCACCCUCAAUCCAUUUCACUCCAACCAUCAACUUUCAAAAGGCUUGGUUGCUUCGACAAUUUUCUUUAAAAUUAUCAAAGGUGAACACAAAUCUUCCUCUAGUGUGUCCUACCCAAUUCUUGAUUCAUCACUUGCAGCAAAAAUUAUGCUGAUGUAAUAUACAGACGAGGAAUCAAUCAUAGUUCAUGACUUGAUUAUAAUAUGGUAACUACUUUCGUCUCUCAUAUAAAGCUUGAAUUGAUAUUGAAUCAUGAGAACAGCUUUUCUAUAUUGUGAGAACAGCCUCUCACAUAACUUGAGCAUAUGUAAGCUGAAGGACGGGGCUUGUGUAAAUGUAAGCUCAAGAACAGAAUGUGGAGGAGGCCGCAGAGCUUGUUGUCAGGUGAAGACAAGAAAGUAGAAUAGAUGUCCUGUUGUUGAAGAUAAGAUGGAAAAACAGAUGCCUCAGCUCAAUGUAACAUCAGCGGGAACUGGUUUGUGCUACUGCCCCCUUAAAAGGUUGGAAAUUUACAGCGAGAAUGCAUCCCACAACCACCAGAGAUGUUAAUCAUUGCUUGGAAUUUCUGCCCAUGUCCUUGGAAUGUAAUAAACAUGUAUACACUAUACCUUUAAAUAUGUAGUCGCUGCUUCACUUGGUGUGCAUGUUGGUGGAGCAAUCCCCCAUGCACCCAAUGCUACAAUAAGGGGAAUGCCUGCUUGACAUAACUCAUUGGCGUGUCAAGUUACUUUGUUGGUUUUCUUGGCUUCAAAAGGAGCAUACUGUGUUUUAUCUGCUGAUGGGGGUAGUAGCCCAUAGGCUAACAGCUGUUCUGUUUGCCUCUGAUGUAUGCAUUCGAACUGCUUACAAUGCAGGGACAAAAAAAAACCCAUAAAAUAGAUUAACUUGAACUAAAGGAAUUUUGCAAAUAUGCCUGAUUACACAAAGGAAAAGAAAAAUGUAGAAAACAACAAUAUUCCCCAUACUUUAUUUCCAGGAGCUAGCAAUUUUCUGUUCUUGAUGCAAAUGCCUACCUCCUGACAUCAGCUCCAUUCUCUGUGCUUGCAGAUCCCGCUGUUUGAAAAGGCUCACAGCCACAGCCUGUGUAGCUUCUUUGCCUAUAGGAGAUCUACAGUGAUAACUGGAAAUUCUGACCCACUAAAAAGACUGUUGUCUUGGGAAGAAGUAUAUCUGUGGAAAUAUUUGCCAAAACGUGCCGCAGGUGAUAAGUUAACGAAGUCCUUGCAAGCAUUGGGAACUUCAAGGAUGUAAUGGGAGAAGAAGAACAUCUUUCCAUCAGUUUUAUUCUAUAUCCUUGAAUGUCUACUGCUGGUAGUAGUAUAGUGGGUAGUAGUAUACUGAGACUAAGGGAUACUACGUCUUAGCAAAAUAUUGGGUCAUUUGCCCUUUAUAUCCAAGUAGUACCUCAUGGGAGAACCAAGGCACUUGUUAUGUCAUAGCAAAAAAUUCAGACUGUGAAAGGUUUGGAAGGCAUAUGCCUGCCUACAGUUUUUCUCCGCAAGAGCAUUUAGCAGUCAAGUUCUAGAGGUCUUUUAUGCACUCCUUGUAUAUUAAAAUUGCCAUCAUCUAAUCUUGGAAACUAGAGUAUUCACUCUAGUGCUGACAUUAAAGCAAAUGAAUGGGAUUAUUUAAACUAUUUGAAAGCUUUGAGACUACAUUCAUUCACGUUUGAAAUUUUAGUUUCUAUCCCCAUUCUGCAUUCACAUUUGAAGGCAACAGGUGCCAUGCAGGGAUUUUCUAAAAAAUGUGUCCUUAAGUUCAUAGAACUCGAACAUUUCCUGCAUUCCAGGUUUGAAAUAUCAUUUUUUUCCAAGAAAUUCAUCUCCUAGACAUUUUGGUUUUGCACCCUGUCUUUUCUGGACAACCUUUGAUAUGAUAUCAGUGAGUAAAAGAAAUCACUUGUACUCACUUACGGGAAAGAUGUCUCUGGAUGGCAGCAAAGCAUAGAAAAAUUGCUGCUGAUUCAUGGGAAAAAAUCUCCUGAAUCCGAUUUAACUUGAUUUAGCAUACUAGUAAAAGUUUGUUAUUCUUUUGGCUGCAACUCUUUUUCUGUUUCUCUUUAAUUGAAAUCCGAUACAAGUCUCCUCACGUUUGUUUGCAGUGUGUUAGAAGCAAAUGGAAGUUUUGGCUUCAAUAGAACUGUGCCCUCAGUAUUUAGUUUAUAGGUUGUUGGUUUUUUUUUAAAUUUUAUUCACACCUUAAAAUACACUCAAAAAUAUAUAUCGUUCAUUCUCCAUAGAGAAUUAACUAAUAUUUAUCAUUUCACAUCUCCCUUUUUGAGAUCCUACAGCCAUUUACCAAGUGUAACUUUUACUUCCAGCUUCUGUGCCUGAAGAUAACCUCUUGCUAGUGAGCAGCAGAGGAAUACAGAAUGCUGGGUCAACUGUCCUCUCUACCCUCUUGAAGGUUAUCCUGAAGGAGCAAUGCUGUAUGGAGCUCUGCUCAGGUGCACUUCUGGUGAGGAUGCCUGGCUUGGAGGAAUUACACAUCUAACUCCAUUGGUGGGAAGUCAGUGAGAGAUUUUCUGUUAUCAAGCUCUUGGACGUACACCAGAAAUCAAAAAGGUUGAUAUAUUUGUGGAUGAUUUAAACAUGCCCAGCUUGGGUUGUUAUGCCUCUGAGCGUCCUCUUGAGCUGCUUUGACAGUCUUCAGAUUUUGGAAGUGUCUAUGACAGGGAUAAACAUUAUUAGAAAUGGUCACCUGAGCUCCUAGACUAUUCAUGUGUUGAAUCUGAUGAGGUUAUUUGGAUUCCUUACUUGUAUGCCAUUAUGGGGUUAUUAGUUUCUACUCUGUGUAAGAAUAAUGUGAAGGUUGUAAAAAUUAUAACCAUUCCAAGGACAGAAAUACAGAGCAGUUUGAGUGACUUGCUGCCUUUUUAAUAAUGCAGAAGUGCAGAAGGCUGAAGCUAAAGUACAGAAGCCAUAUCUGGAAUUUUUCUUUAGCAAGAGAGCUUUACUUCAUUCUGAAAUAGAAGAAAGCUUGAAAUUAAUUCUAAGAUGGGAUGACAUUCUCAUUGUCAAACUGAAAGCUGUUUUUUUUCUCUCACUUUCUGUCAGUUGUGAGCUUAGCACAUUGCAAGUCCAUUGACAGCAAACAAUAGAUUGAUCUGAAAAACUGGCAGGGUAUUUAUGCUAUAUUAAUUAUUUUUGAAUAGCAGCAUGCAAGUGCACCCUAAUAAUUUUUUAUUAAGAUGCUUUUGAUGCUUACUUCCCUCCUGAUUUCUCUUGAACCAUUCACGAUGACACUAGUGGUUUGCACUGCCAAUAUUACUUGCAUGUAAACGCUGAUAAUUACUUGCUAACACUGUACCUGUUUUUUCUUCUUCUAGUAUGCAAUAAUGGCACCACCUUCUACUCCUCCACAUGGUGGCUACAAUUCUGUAAUUUCGCAUUUUAUUGCAACGCUUUCCUUGACUGUGCCUUCUAACACUUCCAGAGUAUAAAUAAAACACAUUUUUCAGAUUGGUAACAACUUGUAUUUUACCAUAAGUUGAAAAAAAGCAUCUUAAAUGGACUAUGCAAUAUAGCUAACUGCACGGAUGAGUAAAAGGACCGCAAUCUUUUGUUCAUGGAAAACUUUUUUUUUAUUUCCGUGGAAUUUGGAUCUUUCCACUUCCUACGUGCCCAUCUAUUAAUUUGAAAUGUAUCAAUGAAAUAUUUUUUCUCCUUCUUUUUCUGGAGUCCAUAAAUAUAUCAAAGAGCUAAAAAAGAUUUACUGGCAUUUGUAGUUCUGUACUCCUUCAGGAUUUUAUCCUGUGAUUAAAUACAAGCCAUACUGUCUUUUGUAUGUAUGCGCAUAGGUACUUACAUUUUAGGAAUUUUCCAAGAUGGGACUGAUCCUGUGAUCUUUUUACCAGUGGCCAUUACUCAGUGUUGGUGAGGCAGCACUUGGCGUACUGUGUCCAGUUCUGUGCUCUCCGGUAUAAGGGAGACAUUAACACACUGGAAAGGGUCCAACAAAGGGCCACCUCUUCAAGAUGAAGAAGAGAUGGAGCACCUCUCUCAUGAGGAGAAGUUAAGAGAGCUGGAGCUGUUCAGCCUGGAGCAGAGAGGGCUCCAGAGGAUCUCAUCAGUGUUUACAAAUACUUACUAGGAAGGGUACAAUUCAGUUGGAGCCAGGCUUUUUUUCAGUGGACAAAAGGCCAUGGGCACAAACUGGAACACAGGAGGGACCCUCUGAGCACCAGGAAGCACUUCUCCACGUGGGUGACUGAAAACUUGUAAAAGUGGCUCAGAGAGGUUGUGGACUCUCCUCCUUGGAGAUCUUCAAAAGCCACCUGGACAUAGGCCUGGGCAGCCUGCUCUAGAUGUUCCUGUCGCUGUUAAGCAGGACUCUUGGACUAAGUGACCACCAGAGGUUCCUUCCAACCUCAACCAUUCUGUGACUCAUCAUUCUCUGAGUAGCACCUGUCAAUAGGCCAGGAGCACUGCUGCUCAGUGACCCUAACAGCACAGUCCAGCAUCCCAUCAAGAUGGUCAGGAGAACUGCAGGCACCACACUACCUACUAGUGAUUCUUGCUGUAUUCCGCUUUCUUCUGACCAGAUCUUCAGACCCUAGUUUUCAUUUCUCUUUCUCCCUCUGAUGUGAUUAUGUUUUCUAGAGCAAGGUGUGUGAUUUUCAGUUAAUCAAACUCCAGCUUCAGUCUUCUGCCUCUGCUUGCAGAAGAGAUGAAGGAAGAUUGUUUUCCCUGAAUAUUUCUUCCCAAAAGAUGAAAAAAGAAAAAGCAGUCAAAGCAUUUAACCAGAAAGGUUUGUUUAUAAAUGAAUGUAAAUAUAGAAUUUGCUUUAAUAGGGCAUACAUACCCUCAUUCUGUCCUUUUAGCUCAUGUGCUUCAUUUGUGCAGGUAGCUAAUGUAUGUUGCUUGAAACCAAACCAGCUGACCCUUUCUGAUUCAGCUUUCCCUCAUUUGUUUUAAAACAUAUGUGAGCACGCACACAGAAGGGCUUCUAACUUCCUUUUCGGAAUCUAUACUCUUUCUGCCUUCGCCAUUAAUUCUGUCUUUGCAGUUUGUUUCCACUGGAUUUAAAAUAUCCUUAUGAGGUACAGAUUGGUAAAUGCCAGAGAAAGGCAAUGAACACUGAAUGUAACAUGACUAUAUUUACAUAUAGUACAUUAGCUUUCAGGGACAAGGAUUAUUUAGUUGAUAAAUGAGAACAGUCAGAGUAAAUUAGCUGAGUUUCCUGUAAUUCUGAAAGUCACACUGAAAAAUGAUCUGUUCUUCAUGCUUUUCCUUGUCCCAUAGCUAAAAGUGGACAUAAAGAACAAAAUGUGUGAUGUUUUGUAACUAAUAAUAUUUUUAUCAGAAUAUGACCUACCUGUGGGAUUCACAGUGGAUGCAGUCAUUGUACAUUAUUAUGACAUACUAGUUUUAUUACUUUGAGUAAUAUAGGUAGUUAUCUAAGUUAAACUAAUUAAAGCAAUCCAGGUUUGCUUCUUGCCAUUCAAAGAGUUGUUACUGAAAUCAGUUUUUUUAAAGUACGAUACAAGAAAACUUACUGCCCCUUUGCAGCAUCUGUGCCUGACCAGAAUUAAAAAUAAAUAAAUAAAUAAAUAACCAAUUUUAGUUGAUAUUCACUUCACAUAUUGAAAUGUAUGUUCCUCCCUGCUUAUGUUUGUGUACUACAUGUAUUCCUAUAAGUAUUGUAAAUGUUUUAAAUAGCUUUUCUUGUAAGGUAAGUUGAAAGUAUUUGUUAACAACAUAACAUGCAUUGUAAUAUUAAAAUGUUAAUAAUAUCAGUAGUACAAACAUACAUGAAGAUCAAGAAUGCCUUUUUCCUUAUUCCCACUUUCAACAGGUCAAUUGCAAUUGUAAUUCCUCUGCCAUCUCAUCUCUGUUCUUCAUUCCUUAGAGUAUAGAUGGAUUUCUCAUGUCCCUGAAGCUCACAUCCUUGGGCAUCUAGGUGAGAAAUGGGAGAAUAAAUCCCACCCACCACCAACACUAUAAGGGCAGAGCAAGUCCAAGACCGCCUCAUGAGUCUGAGCCUCACCUCUGUGCCUGGGAAGAUAAUGUAACAGAUCCUCCUAGAAGACAUGUUAGGGCACAUGAGGGAUGAGCCUAUGAUCCGAGACAGCCAGCAUGGCUUCACCAAGAGACCCGGUCUAAUGGUCUUCUAUGAUGGAUUGGCUACACUGGUGGACAAGGGGAAGGUGACCAUUGUCAUCUACCUGGACUUGUGCAAGACCUUUGACAUGUUCCCCCCCACAUCCUGAUCUCUAAAUUGGAGAGAUACAGAUUUGAGAGGUGGACUAUUCAGUGGAUAAGGAAUUGGUUAGAAGGCCACAGACAGAGGGUUAUGUUGAAUGGCACUAUGUCCAGGUGGAGGCCGGUAACAAGUGGCGUCCCCCAGGGGUCUGUCUUGGAACUGGUGCUCUUCUGCAUCUUCAUCAAUGACACUGACAAUGGGCUUGAGUGCACACUCAGCAAGU
Molecule: long non-coding RNA, 7134 nt
Organism: Numida meleagris (helmeted guineafowl)
Lineage: Eukaryota; Metazoa; Chordata; Aves; Galliformes; Numididae
Exons: 5
Source: RefSeq, a predicted model, not a curated record